GACGAACGCUGGCGGCGUGCUUAACACAUGCAAGUCGAACGGAAAGGCCCUGCUUUUGUGGGGUGCUCGAGUGGCGAACGGGUGAGUAACACGUGAGUAACCUGCCCUUGACUUUGGGAUAACUUCAGGAAACUGGGGCUAAUACCGGAUAGGAGCUCCUGCUGCAUGGUGGGGGUUGGAAAGUUUCGGCGGGUGGGGAUGGACGCGCGGCUUAUCAGCUUGUUGGUGGGGUAGUGGCUUGCCAAGGCUUUGACGGGUAGCCGGCCUGAGAGGGUGACCGGCCACAUGAGGACUGAGAUACGGCCCAGAGUCCUACGGGAGGCAGCAGUGGGGAGUAUUGCACAAUGGGCGGAAGCCUGAUGCAGCAACGCCGCGUGCGGGAUGACGGCCUUCGGGUUGUAAAACGCUUUCGCCUGUGACGAAGCGUGAGUGACGGUAAUGGGUAAAGAAGCACCGGCUAACUACGUG
This 468-nucleotide ribosomal RNA is filed under the name uncultured bacterium. RNAcentral describes it as "partial 16S ribosomal RNA". It matches the Rfam family "Bacterial small subunit ribosomal RNA", at positions 28 to 507 of the family's 1533-position model. The record is from RNAcentral.